AAACUCAAAUGAAUUGACGGGGGCCCCGCACAAGCGGUGGAGCAUGUGGUUUAAUUCGAUGCAACGCGAAGAACCUUACCUACUCUUGACAUCCAGAGAACUUUCCAGAGAUGGAUUGGUGCCUUCGGGAACUCUGAGACAGGUGCUGCAUGGCUGUCGUCAGCUCGUGUUGUGAAAUGUUGGGUUAAGUCCCGCAACGAGCGCAACCCUUAUCCUUACUUGCCAGCGGGUAAUGCCGGGAACUUUAGGGAGACUGCCGGUGAUAAACCGGAGGAAGGUGGGGACGACGUCAAGUCAUCAUGGCCCUUACGAGUAGGGCUACACACGUGCUACAAUGGUCGGUACAGAGGGUUGCGAAGCCGCGAGGUGGAGCUAAUCUCAUAAAGCCGGUCGUAGUCCGGAUUGGAGUCUGCAACUCGACUCCAUGAAGUCGGAAUCGCUAGUAAUCGUGGAUCAGAAUGCCACGGUGAAUACGUUCCCGGGCCUUGUACACACCGCCCGUCACACCAUGGGAGUGGGCUGCACCAGAAGUAGAUAGCUUAACCUUCGGGAGGGCGUUUACCACGGUGUGGUUCAUGACUGGGGUGAAGUCGUAACAAGGUAACCG
RNAcentral lists this ribosomal RNA (607 nucleotides) under uncultured bacterium. RNAcentral describes it as "bacterial SSU rRNA". It matches the Rfam family "Bacterial small subunit ribosomal RNA", at positions 897 to 1502 of the family's 1533-position model. The record is from RNAcentral.